RNAcentral lists this long non-coding RNA (1844 nucleotides) under Olea europaea subsp. europaea. The record is from RNAcentral. Lineage: Eukaryota; Viridiplantae; Streptophyta; Magnoliopsida; Lamiales; Oleaceae.
UUUAUAUUCAAAAAUGAUGAAAACGACGUUUUUAGUAAUGAAACGUUGAAAUAAAGACGAAAAUGCAAAAAAAAGAAACGUAGGGACGUUUUCCGCAAUAAAUGUUAAACGUAAGAACGUUUUGUGCUAUUAACCCCUCUUUAGUUUGAUAUCUAGUAAAAAUAAAGAAUUGCUCGCUACAGCGAUCAUCAUAUUCAUACAUUAAAUAAUUAUUUGUCAUGUGCAUGCUAUUUAGAACGACUAUUAUAAUGAGUAACUGCGAAUAACAUUACUCAAACAUUAAGCAAUAACUAAAGAUUUGAUAAAGUAAUAUAAUAGAAAUAUAAAUUAAAACCUUAACUCGACUCAUUUAAUAUAACAUGCACUACGUGCUUACUUAUUAAUGCCUAAUAAUGAGUUGUAGGCAUUUAAGUUUCUCCAAUAAAAGGAAAAUCUUACAUUUGAAGAUUCUCUUGUAAAUACUAUAAAUACAAAAAUACGAUUGAACACUAAAAAUGGAAAUUAGAAAAAAAAACGAAAAAGAAAAAUGCAUAUAUAAGUGUAAUCUAGGCCCCGUUUGGCUCCAUUAAAUUAUAUUCUAGUACAUUUUAUUUUUCUCUCUUAUUUUUAAAAAAAUUUCCUCAUUUUUCAAUCACCCAUUUUUUCAAAGAAAUAUUACUCCACCGAUUUUCAUUACAAAAAAAAUAGGGCCACAAGGGGCUAAAUCCUGUUAUAUCGGUCUCUUCCUACGCAAUCUCUUUGAAGAAGCCCUUGAAACGAAGUAUCCAACGCCAAGACACAUCGCCCAAAUCCCCACAUCCAGGGCCCAUCCCACCGCCUGGUCCGCCUCCAUCUCCACCUCCAUCUCGCCACCGCUAUUGCUGCCGUCGCCAUUACAAUCAGAACAACCACAGCAGCCGUCUGAUUCAAGCUCAAAAUCUCCCUCUCUCUCCUCCGGAAUUUCCUCCAAUUGACAACACGUCGAGCGACUCCGCCGCCGUGCGACUGCCAUCUCCACCUUCUCUCUCAUCACCGCUGCUUGACCUUCCACAGAGACACAUAUCUCAGCAUCCUUCACCUUGAUAUCAUCAUUCUCCAUUAAACAACAUUUGCACUCCAUUUUCCAAUUUUCUCCCUCGUCUUUCCCAAAAGUCCCUUUCAACACCUUUACAUCCCCAACAAAUAUCUCAAAUCUCAAUCCUUCACACGCCUUUACGCUCUCUCUACUUCCAUAAACAACCCCCUUGCUCUCCUCCAAUAAUACCCUGUGGAGCGUGACAAAACCUGGCGAAUCGGGUUUAAUACCUGACCCGUUUAUCUCCAAAGGGCUUCCGUUAAUCCGAGGAAGAUAAUGCAGCGUCAAAAUAUCAGGUAAAAUCUUUCGGGUACAUGAAACUGAUAAAUGAAUAUAAAAUGCUUUGAGUCUCAAGCGAUCUUUUUCGUUCAGUUGAAAUCCUCUACACAUUUUUGGCGAUUCUUGAUUUGAUUUUGUAUAAUUUGUUGUGAAAAAAAAUUCGAGCUGAAAAUGCUAAAUAUAGAUUUGUGAGGGGUUUGUAUAAGUAGAUGAAAGGAUUGAUGGUAUCAGAAGAAAUCGAUGGGACAGAGAGCACACGGUUUUGACGAUUUAGAGUUGUAGCAGAAGGUGACGUGGGGAAGACGACAAAGGUGUUCGUAGUUUCAAGGGCCAAUUGUUUUCGUUUUGCCGCGUUCUGUGCCAUUGCAACUUGACAGCUUCUUUCUUGCCUGAUGCUUAUCUUUAGACCCUGUUUCAUUCUCAUUUUUAUGAAAAUGUAUUUUAUUUUUCUCUUUUUAACCACACAUUUUUGAUUAAAAUGAUAUUACACGUAAAUCAAUUUUUUUUUUUA